RNAcentral lists this non-coding RNA (579 nucleotides) under Pelecanus crispus (Dalmatian pelican). RNAcentral's name for it is "Eukaryotic small subunit ribosomal RNA". It matches the Rfam family "Eukaryotic small subunit ribosomal RNA", at positions 390 to 937 of the family's 1831-position model. The record is from Rfam by way of RNAcentral. Lineage: Eukaryota; Metazoa; Chordata; Aves; Pelecaniformes; Pelecanidae.
UUCCUGUUCUACUGCCUGACAGCAAUCACUCCCUUGCACUGCAUGAAAUAUGUAUGUAGUCACAACACUAAUGGCAGUAAUAGCAGUGGCCCCUACACCAACAUUGAUGAAAAAUAAUAAUACAGGACUCUUUCGAGGCCCUGUAAUUAGAAUGAGACACUUUAAAUCCUUGAGCAAGGAUCCAUUGAAGGGCAAGUCCGGUGCCAGCAGCCAUGGUAAUUCCAGCUCCAAUAGCGUAUUUUAAAGUUGCUGCAGUUAAAAAGCUUGUAGUUGGAUCUUGGGAUCGAGCUGGUGGUCCAUCGCAAGGCGAGCCACUGCCUGUCCCAGCCCCUGCCUCUCAGCACCCCCUUGAUGCUCUUAGCUGAGUGUCCUGCAGGGCCUGAAGCAUUUGAGAAAAUUAGAGUGUUCAAAGCAGGCUGGCUGCUGGCAUACUGCAGCUAGGAAUAAUGGAAUAGGACUCCGGUUCUAUUUUGUUGAAUCUUUUUUAUUAUUUUUAGGUCCCAUCCUUAGAAACAUUGAAGGUCAGGUUGGAUGGGGCUCUGAGCAACCUGCUCUAGUUAAAGCUGUCCCUGCUCACUG